This 478-nucleotide ribosomal RNA is filed under the name uncultured bacterium. RNAcentral's name for it is "partial 16S ribosomal RNA". It matches the Rfam family "Bacterial small subunit ribosomal RNA", at positions 28 to 507 of the family's 1533-position model. The record is from RNAcentral.
GACGAACGCUGGCGGCGGGCUCAACACAUGCAAGUCGAACGAGGUUUGUGUGGGAUUUCUCUCGGGAAUGGAAAUGAAAUUGAAGUGGCGAACGGGUGAGUAACACGUGAGUGACCUACCUUACACAGGGGGAUAGCCGUUGGAGACGACGAUUAAGACCGCAUGAGACUACAGAAUCGCUUGAUAAAGGGGACACAGAUUUAUCGGUGUAAGAAGGGCUCGCGUCUGAUUAGCUAGUUGGAAGGGUAAAGGCCUACCAAGGCGACGAUCAGUAGCCGGUCUGAGAGGAUGAACGGCCACAUUGGAACUGAGACACGGUCCAAACUCCUACGGGAGGCAGCAGUGGGGAAUAUUGCACAAUGGGGGGAACCCUGAUGCAGCGACGCCGCGUGAGCGAAGAAGGUUUUCGAAUCGUAAAGCUCUGUCCUAUGAGAAGAUAAUGACGGUAUCAUAGGAGGAAGCCCCGGCUAAAUACGUG